This 1428-nucleotide ribosomal RNA is filed under the name metagenome. RNAcentral's name for it is "bacterial SSU rRNA". It matches the Rfam family "Archaeal small subunit ribosomal RNA". The record is from RNAcentral.
ACCCGUUGAUCCUGCGGGAGAUUGCCGCUAUCAGAAUACGAUUAAGACAUGCAAGUCUUCUAGUAAUAGAGGCGAAAUGCUUUCUAACACGUCGAUAAUCUGCCUUUAGGUCUGGAAUAACCUUGGUAAACUGAGGGUAAUACCGGAUAGGGAACUUCUACUGGGAUGUGUUUUUCCCCAAAGUUUCGGCGCCUAAAGAUGAGUCGGCGGCGGAUUAGGUUGUUGGUGGGGUAAUGGCCCACCAAGCCGAAGAUCCGUAGGGGCCUUGAAAGAGGUAGCCCCAAGAAGGACACUGAGAUACUGGUCCUAGCCCUACGGGGUGCAGCAGUCGCGAAACCUUGUCAAUGCACGCAAGUGCGAGCAGGGAAUUCUGAGUGCUCAUGUUUUGCAUGGGCUUUUGCCAAGAGUUGAAAUCUUGGCGAAUAAGUGGUGGGUAAGACUGGUGCCAGCAGCCGCGGUAACACCAGCGCCACGAGUGGGAAUCGUAUAUUUGGCCUAAAGCGUCCGUAGCCGGAUUGGCAAAUUUUCUGUGAAAUCGAACAGCUUAACUGUUCGGCGGGCAGAAAACACUACCAUUCUUGGAACCGGGAGGGGUACAGAGUAUUCCAGGGGAAGCGGUAAAAUGCUAUAAUCCCUGGAGGACUACCUAUGGCGAAGGCACUGUACCAGAACGGAUUCGACGGUGAGGGACGAAAGCCAGGGGAGCGAUCCGGAUUAGAUACCCGAGUAGUCCUGGCCGUAAACGCUGUGAGCUAGGUGUUGCACAUUCUCCGUGAAUGUGCAGUAUCGAAGUGAAGAUGUUAAGCUCACCGCCUGGGAAGUAUGGUCGCAAGGCUGAAACUUAAAGGAAUUGGCGGGGGAGCACUACCAGGGGUGCGGCGUGCGGUUUAAUCUAAUUCAACGCAGAGAACCUCACUAGGUGCGACGGCAGAAUGAAGGUCAGGCUGAAGACCUUACCAGACGAGCCGAGAGGUGGUGCAUGGCCGUCGUCAGCCCGUGCUGUAAAGUGUCCUGUUAAGUCAGGCAACGAGCAAGACCUGUGCCUAUAAUUGCUAACGGCUUCAUUGAAGGACUGAGCACAUUAUGGGAACUGCCCUGGAAACAGGGAGGAAGGUGCAGGCUACGAUAGGUCUGUAUGCCCCGAAUCUCCUAGGCUACACGCGCGCAACAAUGGUAGAGACAAUGGGCCACAACCCCGAAAGGGGAAGUUAAUCCUCGAAACUCUACCUUAGUUUAGAUUGAGGGUUGGAACUCACCCUCAUGACAACGGAAUCCCUAGUAAUCAGACGUUAGCAUCGUCUGGUGAAUAUGUCCCUGCUCCUUGUACACACCGCCCGUCAAACCAACCGAGCAGGGUUUAGGUGAGUGUCAUCUUCUUAGGUGCCACGAAUCUAAACUCAGUGAGGUGGGUUAAGUCGUCACAAGGUA